Acinonyx jubatus (cheetah) is the source of this 923-nucleotide long non-coding RNA. RefSeq lists it as uncharacterized. The transcript has 4 exons. Lineage: Eukaryota; Metazoa; Chordata; Mammalia; Carnivora; Felidae. The record is from RefSeq and is a predicted model, not a curated record.
CGCGCUGAAGCUGGCGCCGCUGCUGCGACGCAGCCUUGUGGCCGUCUACGGAGACGCCUCGGCUCACUCCUCCGCCUUCCUGCGCUCCCAGCGCAGCUACUCCCGACGGCAGCGGCGCAGAGUGUGGCUGCCGCCGCCCCGCGCCAACCAAUCAGGAAGCAGAGCCGUACUCCGGGCACGCCUCCCCUAUGACGUCACGCAGCCGCCCAGGAAGCCCCGCCCGGUGGCCUUACCUGGGAAAGGUCUUGGGAGAGGGCAGUGGUUGUGGGCUCUCGAAGGGUGAAAAUAACCGCCAUGUGAAUCGCACGCAUUAUACCUGCCCUGAGAAAUACAGUCAGGGUAAACAGUUUCCUAAUUUUAAAAUGUGCUUAUUCCCUGAAUCGCUCUUCAACCACCCAUCCAUCCGUCUGUCCAUCCAUCUGGACCAUCCACUCAACCAUAGCUACUGGGCACCUCCUGGGUGCCAGGAGCUGAGCUGGGUGCUGGUGAUAAAUAACGAGGAACCUUGUGCUUGUGUUCACGGAGCUCGGAGGCUAGUGAAGAAGUCUGACAGUAACAAAUGCUUAUACCAAUCAUGCUUUUAUUACAAUCGUGAUCCAUUCUAGGAACAUAAGUGUUCUCAGCAGCUGGCACAGUGCCUGAUACAGACUGAGUGCCCAGGAAAUGCCCGCAGAAUGAAAGCAAGGAGUUAUCCUGCACAGACCCAUGGGAUCUUGUGGAGGAAACUGAGUUGCAGGACGUGACGGAACUCGUGUUAGGUCUGUAGGACUCCAGAGGGAAUUCCUAGCUACUAUGCUCCACUGCCUUAUGUGAAAACCCAGCCUCAUCUAUGCUGGAAAAUGCUGAGUAAAAGGCAGAAGUCCGCUGUCUACCCGUCUGUGGACGGCCCCAGCCGAGGCGGGACUCUGCAGAGGUCCUAUGGU